This 127-nucleotide small RNA is filed under the name Marmota monax (woodchuck). Lineage: Eukaryota; Metazoa; Chordata; Mammalia; Rodentia; Sciuridae. The record is from RNAcentral.
GCCUGGCGUGGUGGUGCAAGUCUGUAAUCCCAGAGACUCGGGAGGCUGAGGCAGGAGGAUCACAAGUUGAGAGCCAGCCUCAGCGACUUAGCGAGGCCCUAAGCAAUAUAGCAAGACCCUGUCUCUA